Molecule: transfer RNA, 72 nt
Filed under: Anguilla anguilla (European eel)
Lineage: Eukaryota; Metazoa; Chordata; Actinopteri; Anguilliformes; Anguillidae
Description: tRNA-OTHER
Source: RNAcentral
GAGAAGGUGGCGCAACGGUAUUGUCUUUGCCUACGGACGCAGAGGUUGGGGGUUCGAACCCCCUUCGUCUUU